Molecule: long non-coding RNA, 223 nt
Filed under: Elaeis guineensis (African oil palm)
Lineage: Eukaryota; Viridiplantae; Streptophyta; Magnoliopsida; Arecales; Arecaceae
Description: long non-coding RNA (EGUI_LNC030482)
Source: RNAcentral
AGGCACAAUAGAUGUUUAAAGUUUGGACUUUCCUCCUUGAUACAAUAAUAGGAUUCCAUUGUUAGGCCCAGAUUCUCACAGGAAUAGCAAAGAUCUGGCAGCUCCUCAUAUAUCAAUUAUUGCCGGAUCAAAUUAUCAUUCACCCUGACCCUUGUUCCAGGGCAAAUACUUUUGGAGUUAUCAAUAAGAACACAUACCCGAGCAUAAUCCCUUCUAGUGAAAC